RNAcentral lists this ribosomal RNA (1486 nucleotides) under metagenome. Its description in RNAcentral is "bacterial SSU rRNA". It matches the Rfam family "Bacterial small subunit ribosomal RNA". The record is from RNAcentral.
AGAGUUUGAUCCUGGCUCAGGAUGAACGCUAGCGGCAGGCUUAAUACAUGCAAGUCGAGGGGCAGCACGAAUAGCAAUAUUUGGUGGCGACCGGCGCACGGGUGCGUAACACGUAUGCAACCUUCCUUCAACUGGGGAAUAGCUCACCGAAAGGUGAAUUAAUACCCCAUAAUAUUCGAGAGUGGCAUCACUUUCCAAUUAAAGAAUUUCGGUUGAAGAUGGGCAUGCGCAACAUUAGCUAGUUGGUGAGGUAACGGCUCACCAAGGCUACGAUGUUUAGGGGAUCUGAGAGGAUUAACCCCCACACUGGUACUGAGACACGGACCAGACUCCUACGGGAGGCAGCAGUAAGGAAUAUUGGACAAUGGGCGCAAGCCUGAUCCAGCCAUGCCGCGUGCAGGAUGACGGCCCUAUGGGUUGUAAACUGCUUUUAUACGGGAAAAAACCCUCGCUCGUGAGCGAGGCUGAUGGUACCGUAAGAAUAAGGAUCGGCUAACUCCGUGCCAGCAGCCGCGGUAAUACGGAGGAUCCAAGCGUUAUCCGGAUUUAUUGGGUUUAAAGGGUGCGUAGGCGGAUUUGUAAGUCAGUGGUGAAAUCCUGCAGCUCAACUGUAGAACUGCCAUUGAUACUGCAAGUCUUGAGUACAUAUGAUGUGGGCGGAAUGUGUAGUGUAGCGGUGAAAUGCUUAGAUAUUACACAGAACACCGAUUGCGAAGGCAGCUCACAAAACUGUAACUGACGCUGAGGCACGAAAGCGUGGGGAGUGAACAGGAUUAGAUACCCUGGUAAUCCACGCCUUAAACGAUGAUUACUCGAUGUGUGCAAUACACCGUACGCGUCCUAGCGAAAGCGUUAAGUAAUCCACCUGGGGAGUACGAUCGCAAGGUUGAAACUCAAAGGAAUUGACGGGGACCCGCACAAGCGGUGGAUGAUGUGGUUUAAUUCGAUGCAACGCGAAAAACCUUACCCACCUUUGACAUGUACGGAAGUUGCCAGAGAUGGCUUCGUGCUCGAAAGAGAGCCGUAACACAGGUGCUGCAUGGCUGUCGUCAGCUCGUGUCGUGAGAUGUUGGGUUAAGUCCCGCAACGAGCGCAACCCUUGUCAUUAGUUGCUACGAAAGGGCACUCUAAUGAGACUGCCGGUGACAAACCGGAGGAAGGUGGGGAUGACGUCAAGUCCUCAUGGCCCUUAUAGGUGGGGCUACACACGUCAUACAAUGGCCGGUACAAAGGGUUGCCAACCCGCGAGGGGGAGCUAAUCCCAUAAAGCCGGUCGUAGUCCGGAUCGCAGUCUGCAACUCGACUGCGUGAAGUCGGAAUCGCUAGUAAUCGUGGAUCAGAAUGUCACGGUGAAUACGUUCCCGGGUCUUGUACACACCGCCCGUCACACCAUGGGAGCGGGUUCUGCCAGAAGUAGUUAGCCUAACCGUAAGGAGGGCGAUUACCACGGCAGGGUUCGUGACUGGGGUGAAGUCGUAACAAGGUA